GAUGAACGCUGGCGGCGUGCCUAAUACAUGCAAGUAGAACGCUGAAGGAAGGAGCUUGCUCUUUCCGGAUGAGUUGCGAACGGGUGAGUAACGCGUAGGUAACCUGCCUGGUAGCGGGGGAUAACUAUUGGAAACGAUAGCUAAUACCGCAUAACAGUAGAUGUUGCAUGAUAUCUACUUAAAAGGUGCAAUUGCACCACUACCAGAUGGACCUGCGUUGUAUUAGCUAGUUGGUGAGGUAAAGGCUCACCAAGGCGACGAUACAUAGCCGACCUGAGAGGGGGAUCGGCCACACUGGGACUGAGACACGGCCCAGACUCCUACGGGAGGCAGCAGUAGGGAAUCUUCGGCAAUGGACGGAAGUCUGACCGAGCAACGCCGCGGGAGGGAAGAAGGUUUUCGGAUCGUAAAGCUCUGUUGUAAGAGAAGAACGAGUGUGAGAGUGGAAAGUUCACACUGUGACGGUAUCUUACCAGAAAGGGACGGCUAACUACGUG
Molecule: ribosomal RNA, 497 nt
Filed under: uncultured bacterium
Lineage: Bacteria
Description: partial 16S ribosomal RNA
Rfam family: Bacterial small subunit ribosomal RNA
Source: RNAcentral